Meleagris gallopavo (turkey) is the source of this 46-nucleotide non-coding RNA. NCBI's taxonomy places the organism in Eukaryota, Metazoa, Chordata, Aves, Galliformes, Phasianidae. The record is from Rfam.
AAAAAGGCUUUAUUUAAAGUCACUCAUAUUCUGACAUAAACUCUAG